GUUAUAUGGUCAAGCGAAUAAGCGCACACGGUGGAUGCCUAGGCGGUCAGAGGCGAUGAAGGACGUGGUAGCCUGCGAAAAGUGUCGGGGAGCUGGCAACAAGCUUUGAUCCGGCAAUAUCCGAAUGGGGAAACCCACUGCUUCGGCAGUAUCCUGCAGUGAAUUCAUAGCUGCUGGAAGCGAACCCGGUGAACUGAAAUAUCUAAGUAACCGGAGGAAAAGAAAUCAACCGAGAUUCCCUAAGUAGUGACGAGCGAACGGGGAGCAGCCCUUAAGCUGGAAUGGCUUUAGAAAAACAAUCUGGAAAGAUUGGCCAUAGAAGGUGAUAGCCCUGUAUUUAAAAGGGCCACUCCAGUGAAGACGAGUAGGGCGGGGCACGUGAAACCCUGUCUGAAUAUGGGGGGACCAUCCUCCAAGGCUAAAUACUCCUGACCGACCGAUAGUGAACCAGUACCGUGAGGGAAAGGCGAAAAGAACCCCGGAGAGGGGAGUGAAAUAGAUCCUGAAACCGUGUGCGUACAAGCAGUAGGAGCUCGCAAGAGUGACUGCGUACCUUUUGUAUAAUGGGUCAGCGACUUACUGUUCGUGGCAAGCUUAACCGUAUAGGGGAGGCGAAGGGAAACCGAGUCUGAUAAGGGCGCAUAGUCGCGGGCAGUAGACCCGAAACCGGGUGAUCUAGUCAUGGCCAGGGUGAAGGUGCCGUAACAGGUACUGGAGGCCCGAACCCACGUCUGUUGCAAAAGACGGGGAUGAGCUGUGAUUAGGAGUGAAAAGCUAAUCGAACCCGGAGAUAGCUGGUUCUCCUCGAAAGCUAUUUAGGUAGCGCCUCGGACGAAUACUACUGGGGGUAGAGCACUGUUAUGGCUAGGGGGUCAUCGCGACUUACCAAACCAUUGCAAACUCCGAAUACCAGUACGUACUAUCCGGGAGACACACGGCGGGUGCUAACGUCCGUCGUGAAAAGGGAAACAACCCAGACCCACAGCUAAGGUCCCAAAUUCACUGCUAAGUGGAAAACGAUGUGGAAAGGCAUAGACAGCCAGGAGGUUGGCUUAGAAGCAGCCACCCUUUAAAGAAAGCGUAAUAGCUCACUGGUCGAGUCGGUCUGCGCGGAAGAUUUAACGGGGCUAAGCAGUGAACCGAAGCUUGGGGUGCAUAAAACGUGUUUUAUGCGCGGUAGAGGAGCGUUCCGUAAGCCUGCGAAGGUGGAUUGAGAAGUCUGCUGGAGGUAUCGGAAGUGCGAAUGCUGACAUGAGUAACGAUAAUGCGGGUGAAAAGCCCGCACGCCGAAAGCCCAAGGUUUCCUUGCGCAACGUUAAUCGACGCAGGGUUAGUCGGUCCCUAAGGCGAGGGCGAAAGCCGUAGUCGAUGGGAAGCAGGUUAAUAUUCCUGCACCUCGCGUGAGUGCGAUGGAGGGACGGAGAAGGUUAGGUGUACCGGGCGUUGGUUGUCCCGGGGAAAGGCGGUAGGUUUGGAUCUUUGGCAAAUCCGGGAUCCUUUAAGACCGAGCACCGAGACGAGCCUUUAUGGCGAAGUCACUGAUACCACGCUUCCAGGAAAAGCUCCUAAGCUUCAGCUCACGAAGACCGUACCGUAAACCGACACAGGUGGGUAGGAUGAGAAUUCUCAGGCGCUUGAGAGAACUCGGGUGAAGGAACUAGGCAACAUGGCACCGUAACUUCGGGAGAAGGUGCACCCUUUUUGGUGGCUCAUGCGAGCUAUAGCUGAAGAGGGUCGCAGAAACCAGGCCGCUGCGACUGUUUAUCAAAAACACAGCACUCUGCAAACACGAAAGUGGACGUAUAGGGUGUGACGCCUGCCCGGUGCUGGAAGGUUAAUUGAUGGGGUCAGCCGCAAGGCGAAGCUCUUGAUCGAAGCCCCAGUAAACGGCGGCCGUAACUAUAACGGUCCUAAGGUAGCGAAAUUCCUUGUCGGGUAAGUUCCGACCUGCACGAAUGGCGUAACGACAGCGGCGCUGUCUCCACCCGAGACUCAGUGAAAUUGAAAUCGCUGUGAAGAUGCAGCGUUCCCGUGGCAAGACGGAAAGACCCCGUGAACCUUUACUAUAGCUUUACACUGAACGUUGAGUUCGUCUGUGUAGGAUAGGUGGGAGGCUAUGAAACUGUGGCGCUAGCUGCAGUGGAGCCAUCCUUGAAAUACCACCCUGUCGUGCUUGACGUUCUAACCUAGGUCCGUUAUCCGGAUCAGGGACCGUGUAUGGUGGGUAGUUUGACUGGGGCGGUCUCCUCCUAAAGAGUAACGGAGGAGCACGAAGGUACGCUCAGCGCGGUCGGACAUCGCGCACUGUGUGCAAAGGCAUAAGCGUGCUUGACUGCAAGAUCGACGGAUCAAGCAGGUACGAAAGUAGGUCUUAGUGAUCCGGUGGUUCUGUAUGGAAGGGCCAUCGCUCAACGGAUAAAAGGUACUCCGGGGAUAACAGGCUGAUACCGCCCAAGAGUUCAUAUCGACGGCGGUGUUUGGCACCUCGAUGUCGGCUCAUCACAUCCUGGGGCUGUAGUCGGUCCCAAGGGUAUGGCUGUUCGCCAUUUAAAGUGGUACGCGAGCUGGGUUCAGAACGUCGUGAGACAGUUCGGUCCCUAUCUGCCAUGGGCGUUGGAAGUUUGAGAGGGGCUGCUCCUAGUACGAGAGGACCGGAGUGGACGAACCUCUGGUGUUCCGGUUGUCACGCCAGUGGCAUUGCCGGGUAGCUAUGUUCGGAAGCGAUAACCGCUGAAAGCAUCUAAGCGGGAAGCGCGCCUCAAGAUGAGACUUCCCGGGGCACAAGCCCCCUAAAGGAACCAUGUAGACUACGUGGUUGAUAGGUCAGGUGUGUAAGUACAGCAAUGUAUUGAGCUAACUGAUACUAAUGAUCCGUGCGGCUUGACCAUAUAACCUCA
This 2897-nucleotide ribosomal RNA is filed under the name Xanthomonas oryzae. RNAcentral's name for it is "bacterial LSU rRNA". It matches the Rfam family "Bacterial large subunit ribosomal RNA". The record is from RNAcentral. Lineage: Bacteria; Pseudomonadati; Pseudomonadota; Gammaproteobacteria; Lysobacterales; Lysobacteraceae.